This 488-nucleotide ribosomal RNA is filed under the name uncultured bacterium. RNAcentral describes it as "partial 16S ribosomal RNA". It matches the Rfam family "Bacterial small subunit ribosomal RNA", at positions 28 to 523 of the family's 1533-position model. The record is from RNAcentral.
GAUGAACGCUGGCGGCGGGCCUGACACAUGCAAGUCGAGCGGGGUUUUCGGACCUAGCGGCGGACGGGUGAGUAAUGCGUAGGAAGCUACCCGAUAGAGGGGGAUACCAGUUGGAAACGACUGUUAAUACCGCAUAAUGUCUACGGACCAAAGUGUGGGACCUUCGGGCCACAUGCUAUCGGAUGCGCCUACGUGGGAUUAGCUAGUUGGUGGGGUAAUGGCUCACCAAGGCGACGAUCCCUAGCUGGUUUGAGAGGAUGAUCAGCCACACUGGAACUGAGACACGGUCCAGACUCCUACGGGAGGCAGCAGUGGGGAAUAUUGGACAAUGGGCGCAAGCCUGAUCCAGCCAUGCCGCGUGUGUGAAGAAGGCCUUCGGGUUGUAAAGCACUUUCAGUAGGGAGGAAGGGUUGUAGAUUAAUACUCUGCAAUUUUGACGUUACCGACAGAAUAAGCACCGGCUAACUCUGUGCCAGCCGCCACAGUAA